AUUGAACGCUGGCGGCAUGCCUUACACAUGCAAGUCGAACGGCAGCACGGGAGCAAUCCUGGUGGCGAGUGGCGAACGGGUGAGUAAUAUAUCGGAACGUGCCCGGUCGUGGGGAUAACGUAGCGAAAGCUACGCUAAUACCGCAUACGAUCUACGGAUGAAAGCGGGGGGAUCGCAAGACCUCGCGCGAUUGGAGCGGCCGAUAUCAGAUUAGGUAGUUGGUGAGGUAAAGGCUCACCAAGCCGACGAUCUGUAGCUGGUCUGAGAGGACGACCAGCCACACUGGGACUGAGACACGGCCCAGACUCCUACGGGAGGCAGCAGUGGGGAAUUUUGGGACAAUGGGCGCAAGCCUGAUCCAGCAAUGCCGCGUGCAGGAUGAAGGCC
Molecule: ribosomal RNA, 387 nt
Filed under: uncultured bacterium
Lineage: Bacteria
Description: bacterial SSU rRNA
Rfam family: Bacterial small subunit ribosomal RNA
Source: RNAcentral